This 196-nucleotide unclassified non-coding RNA is filed under the name uncultured Tomentella. Its description in RNAcentral is "sequence contains ITS2". Lineage: Eukaryota; Fungi; Basidiomycota; Agaricomycetes; Thelephorales; Thelephoraceae. The record is from RNAcentral.
ACACCUCAACUCCUCAUGGUUUGCCGUGAUGAGUUGAGGUGUUCACGAUACUCAAAUGGAUCAGCUUUCCAGUAUUUGGUGGCAUCGCAGGUGUGAUAAAUAUCUACGCUUGUGGUUUCCACCAUGUGUGACCUUCAGUGAUGAAGGUGUGCUGGAGCUCACAAUAGUCCCUCCUCAGUGGGACAGCUUUCUGAAC